UCGACUGUUUACCAAAAACAUAGCCCUUAAAUAAAUUAAAGGUGUAACCUGCCCAAUGAUUACUAAUCAAAAAAUAUUAAAAUUAUUUUAAAGUAAUUUAAAGGACGCGGUAUCUUGACCGUGGUAAUGUAGCAUAAUCACUCGCCAUUUAAUUGAUGGAUAGUAUGAAUGGUUGAACGAAUAUAACACUGUCUCAAAUAGAGAAUUAAUGAAACUGGAAUAAUAGUAAAGAUACUAUUUAAAAUUGUAAGACGAAAAGACCCUAUAGAGCUUAACUAUAUUCUUAUUUAUAAUAUAAUAAAUUUAUUUAUUAAACAAUAAGAAAGGUAGUUUAGUUGGGGCGACUGCCUUCUAAAUUUAACGAAGGUAAGCAAUAUUAAUAAAAAGAUUAACUGUAUAAUACAUAAAUUUAACAGUUACAAAAGUAGGCUAUAUUGACCCGUUUUUAUUAAAGAACAAGAAAAAACGAUCAAUAAAUAAAAGCUACCUUAGGGAUAACAGGAUAAUUUUAUUUUAGAGAUCUAAUCGAAAAUAAAGUUUGUCACCUCUAUGUUGAAUUAAGGUAACCUAAUAGUGCAGAAGCUAUUGAGGGUAGGUCUGUUCGACCUUUAAAACCUUACAUGAUUUGAGUUC
RNAcentral lists this ribosomal RNA (633 nucleotides) under Stauridiosarsia producta. Its description in RNAcentral is "partial 16S ribosomal RNA". It matches the Rfam family "Bacterial large subunit ribosomal RNA", at positions 1796 to 2612 of the family's 2925-position model. The record is from RNAcentral. Lineage: Eukaryota; Metazoa; Cnidaria; Hydrozoa; Anthoathecata; Corynidae.